RNAcentral lists this ribosomal RNA (226 nucleotides) under Mircia shigini. Its description in RNAcentral is "partial small subunit ribosomal RNA". The record is from RNAcentral. Lineage: Eukaryota; Metazoa; Platyhelminthes; Cestoda; Cyclophyllidea; Schistotaeniidae.
CUCUUGUUAUGUUGGUGUAUAUCUGGUUAAAUAUUACUGCUUAAUAGCGUAAAUUUGUGUAUACUUGUUUUAUUUAAGCCAAGUCUAUGUGCUGCCUAUAAGAGGUUUCAUGCGUUACAUUUAUAUAGUUAAAGUUGUUAAACUUUAAUAUUUAGGACUCAAAAGUAAUGUAUAAUUUAGUUUGUUUACGUGAAAUUGGUUUAGCUUGGGUACACACCGCCCGUCA